Neofelis nebulosa (Clouded leopard) is the source of this 2814-nucleotide long non-coding RNA. RefSeq lists it as uncharacterized. Lineage: Eukaryota; Metazoa; Chordata; Mammalia; Carnivora; Felidae. The transcript has 5 exons. The record is from RefSeq and is a predicted model, not a curated record.
AUGCAGUGGUGAAUAUUCCAGUAAUUGUUUUUGGAGGGAGAUUUCUCACCUGCUUGUCCGGUUUGUCACAGUCACGGGAAGUCAUGCGUUAUCAAGUACUUCUGUGUUCUCCAUAUUAGCUUCUAGUGCCACAAGAGGGGUGUGUACCUGCUGCCCCACCCCACAAGAGUUAGUGUGCCUGACUCUUGGCUAUCAUGUGCCAGAUGUUUUGUGCUAACCCCCCCAAAAAGGUUUUCUCUGUUAAAUCUGAAAAUGCAUUUUUUUUUAUCCUACAGGGAAAUUGUUAAAGUAGUGUUCAGUAACUUCAAAUGAAUAAAAUGGACCGUCACAUUGAUCUAUUUUAAAACUACUUUUUCAAACAUAUGAAGUAUUUGACUUUUCCCAGUGGGUUCCCAUGUACUUCAAAGACCCUGCUGUAGUUUGCUAGUUCUCUGUGUUAAUAGAAUCUUCCAUGUAAGAGUUCCAGAUCAAAGGCAAGGAGUAAGUAUACCAUUGUGUAAGAUUGGGUCAGAACUUGGGUCAGUUACCUAUCGUGUUACACAACAGAGUCAACAAAAGCACAAACAUUAUCCCUCUCUGUAUGAUAGAAAAUAGACACAUAAGUCUUUAUCAAUUUUUUCUGAGAGUUUAUAAGUUCUUGACACCAAUAAGUUGUUUUCUGUGAUUUCAGUAUUACAGGUUACACAGAUUUUGUCUUGUAACAAAAUUUUGCUGUACAAAGGAGGAAUGUUUUGUGCGAAUGAUGUAGAGUUUAGUUGUAAGGUUUCCAGUUCUCUGAAUGGCUUUAUUAAAAGAUCUCUGAACUUGGGACACACAUGGGUAUUUCCCCUCUCUCAGCCCUCUUCUGUAGUCCAGCUGCCUCAGUAAUUACUCUUGACUGUUGUCUCAGGUGGGUCUCCUGUGAUCAAGAGACACUUAAGCAUGGUUGGGGCCAGGUGUGCACCUUUCUCUAUGCUGUGAGCCUUCCCCUAAACUUGUUGCCAUUUGAAUUUUAGCAAAAUAAAAUGUCUCAAGUUGACUCAUGCCUUUGUGAAGCUUGUCUUUGAUAAUAAGUGGAACUGAGUCUAUAUUAUCAUCUUGGCACAACAGCAGCAACCGGCCAGCUCUUGGAAUCUCUCGUGCUUUCCUCCUAAGAAAAUAAGAGGUGGUUUGCAGGUUCCUUCAUUGACUCAGUGAGUUACAUCAGUCAUCCUGGGAAAGAGAAUUAUAAUUGAAAAGAAUGACACUAUUGCUUAAUCUCCCUCCAGCCCACUCUCCUGUCUGACACCAAAUCAAAAACUCAACUGAAACAAAAGAAAAAAGGUAAUGGCGACUUCCCUUCACAAACUCCAGCUGAACCUUCCUUGGAGGAAAAUUGCCCCUAAGAGCCCGGGAGGUGGCUCAAUAUGGUGACGUAGGAUGAUCUUGAACUCACCUCCUCCCAUGAACACACCAAAUCUACAGCUACAUAUGGAACAGUUCCCUCCGAAAAAGACCUGAAAACUAGUUGAGCAACUUCUUCACAUCAGGCAACAAGGAAAAGGCCAAAGUGAAGUGGGUAGCAGAGGCUGAGACACGGUCUCUACCCCAGCAAGGCAACCCACAAUCACAAUGUAACUCACAAACCCGGAGCAUCUCUCUGAGGACCAGCAGGUGAUACCUUGUGUCAGGCACCCUAACUUUUAAUUCCUGCACCCAACAGAUGAGCCCCCAACACAUCUGGCUUAGAAAACCAUGAGCCCUAAAGAGCUGUAGUGAAAUGAGAAAUGGCUCAAAGAGCUAGUGUGCAGACUCUCUUGCCCCAGGGUGCAGCACAGAAGCAGCCAUUAGAAAUGCACCCAGACUUUAAGAAAUGAAGAUCUUUCCUAUAAUCUUAAAGCUUCAGCUGGAGGGGCAGGGACCUGCUGGGACACUCUUCUGCUUGUGGGUGACAUAUUUGCACUCUCUGUCUGCCUUGUAAAGCUGGCGGGUGCCAUCUUCACACUCUCCCUCUGCCACGCUUCAGAGCACCAGCAUUUCCUGGACGGGAGUUUUUGCACACAUCUGGUGCCUUUGCUCUUGUGGCUGCCAGCAAGGGGACACCCCUUGAUUGCUGGGCUCAGUAGGCCAGUAUUGCUUCCAUUCCUGAGUUGCACGGGACUCUAACAAUCAGACCAUCCUUGGCAGACGACCAUCCCCAGGACACUGUACACAUAGCAAAGGGAAAGAUCCUCCCAGUUGCUCAGAGAAAGAAGCCUAUUUGCAAGCUUUGGCCUUCUGGGCCACCUUCUGCUCCGGCACACUUAGAAUAAUGUGUGGGAGAGUUCUCAGGGAACAGAGUCCAGUGGAUACGGUCUUUGCACUCUCUGCCUCACUAGAGCGCAUAAAUAUCUCCCUAGGAAGGUGCUUCUAUCCUUGUUUGACACCCUUGAUUUUUUUGUAGCUGCUUUUGGUGGAUAAGGUGCUACUUGUGUUUCUGGGUCCCACACAUUUCUGUAGUCCCAGGCUACAACACACGUAGUCUGUGAAAGAGAACUAUUUGUCCUGGAGCUGCAGGCCUACAUGACAAGCUUUCAGUUUGGCAUACAUCUACAAGCUUAGAGACGUGCUCUGAGGAAGUGAGUACAGCAGUGUGUCAUCUUUGUGCUGUCCCUCCACCUCCCUACAGCUCCCUGGCAUCUCCUAGAAAGGAGUUCACACACUUACCUGGAGCCCCAAUUUUAGUCACUGUCUCCCAGGGGAUAUUCUCUAGAUAACCUUGUUCUAGUGGCUAGAGGGGCUUAUGUGCAAUCCUAUAGAAAUUAUAGAUAUAUAUUUGCAUUCUUUAUUUAUAUUUACAUAAAUUUAUAAAUAUAC